Small nucleolar RNA from Tachyglossus aculeatus (Australian echidna), 138 nucleotides. Lineage: Eukaryota; Metazoa; Chordata; Mammalia; Monotremata; Tachyglossidae. The record is from RefSeq and is a predicted model, not a curated record.
ACUCUCUCACAAUUACACCUGGAGGGUUUUCAAUACUCUACCAGUCUCAGCUAUGGGAGGGAGAGUCAAACAGAGACAUACCCAUUCCAUUCCUGGCUUGAGCAGUGGCUAGUGAGUGGAAGGCAAUCUGCUAGAAGU